RNAcentral lists this ribosomal RNA (253 nucleotides) under uncultured bacterium. Its description in RNAcentral is "partial 16S ribosomal RNA". It matches the Rfam family "Bacterial small subunit ribosomal RNA", at positions 524 to 776 of the family's 1533-position model. The record is from RNAcentral.
UACGGGGGGGGCAAGCGUUGUUCGGAAUUAUUGGGCGUAAAGGGUUCGUAGGUGGCCGGCUAAGUCAGACGUGAAAUCCCUCAGCUUAACUGGGGAACUGCGUCUGAAACUGAUCGGCUUGAGCUUACUAGAGGCAGAUGGAAUUCCGGGUGUAGCGGUGGAAUGCGUAGAGAUCCGGAAGAACACCGGUGGCGAAGGCGGUCUGCUGGGGUAAUGCUGACACUGAUGCGCGACAGCGUGGGGAGCAAACAGG